GCCUUAGUAGCUUAGAUUAAAGCAUCGGUCUUGUAAUCCGAAGAGCGGAGGUUAAACUCCUCCCUAAAGCC
Molecule: transfer RNA, 71 nt
Filed under: Horadandia atukorali (golden rasbora)
Lineage: Eukaryota; Metazoa; Chordata; Actinopteri; Cypriniformes; Danionidae
Description: tRNA-Thr
Rfam family: tRNA
About the family: Transfer RNA (tRNA) molecules are approximately 80 nucleotides in length. Their secondary structure includes four short double-helical elements and three loops (D, anti-codon, and T loops).
Source: RNAcentral